AUUUUGUCACUUGUUAAUAGAUAUAUUGUAAAUAAUUUAUUUUCACAUACAUGAACAAACAAUGAUUAUGUCUUAGUUCAAGUUGUUCUUGUUCUCCACUUAUUUUUUCUUCAAUGCCAAAUAGGCUUUGAAAGUGCAUUUUCAUAAUAAGCUAAGAUAAAAUUACUUCUGCGACCAAUUCUGGGUCUCAUGCAAUAACAUAUGGGAAAAUAAAAACAUGUAAGUUCCACUAGCUUUGUUCUUUAAAACAAAUAUAUACAUGGUGUGGAUGCCACAAUCAGGGUUCAAACAUUGGACCUCUUCUAAGUUGAGAGGGAUACCAAGCAGCCUUAGCUGGUUGGUAUUAUCCGCCCUAGAUUUUAGAUCAACAGUAAUGCUAUUAUUUUUAAUUCUUGAUUAUUCCAGUGGCAAUGUUGCGGUCCGUGGGAAUUUUCUAUCUAGAGAGUUUACGAACGGACGGAAGCGGGCCCAAUCGGCUCCCUCUAAAAGGUCUUAGUAGUGGGAAACUUUCGCUGACCAUAGGCUGUCGCGGAUAACGGUUCUCGCCGUCUAAACACGGUUUUAGUUUACGAGUGAUGCAGCAGGGAGAAAUGCUCCAUGCCAUACAAGUGGUCAAAUUCACUGGGUUGGUGUCCACCAUCCGAGAACAGAAAAGG
Molecule: long non-coding RNA, 656 nt
Filed under: Elaeis guineensis (African oil palm)
Lineage: Eukaryota; Viridiplantae; Streptophyta; Magnoliopsida; Arecales; Arecaceae
Description: long non-coding RNA (EGUI_LNC001229)
Source: RNAcentral